GACGAACGCUGGCGGCGUGCUUAACACAUGCCGGUCGAACGGAAAGGCCCUGCUUUUGUGGGGUGCUCGAGUGGCGAACGGGUGAGUAACACGUGAGUAACCUGCCCUUGACUUUGGGAUAACUUCAGGAAACUGGGGCUAAUACCGGAUAGGAGCUCCUGCUGCAUGGUGGGGGUUGGAAAGUUUCGGCGGUUGGGGAUGGACUCGCGGCUUAUCAGCUUGUUGGUGGGGUAGUGGCUUACCAAGGCUUUGACGGGUAGCCGGCCUGAGAGGGUGACCGGCCACAUUGGGACUGAGAUACGGCCCAGACGCCUACGGGAGGCAGCAGUGGGGAAUAUUGCACAAUGGGCGGAAGCCUGAUGCAGCAACGCCGCGUGCGGGAUGACGGCCUUCGGGUUGUAAACCGCUUUCGCCUGUGACGAAGCGUGAGUGACGGUAAUGGGUAAAGAAGCACCGGCUAACUACGUG
This 468-nucleotide ribosomal RNA is filed under the name uncultured bacterium. RNAcentral describes it as "partial 16S ribosomal RNA". It matches the Rfam family "Bacterial small subunit ribosomal RNA", at positions 28 to 507 of the family's 1533-position model. The record is from RNAcentral.